Molecule: unclassified non-coding RNA, 2070 nt
Filed under: Hevea brasiliensis (rubber tree)
Lineage: Eukaryota; Viridiplantae; Streptophyta; Magnoliopsida; Malpighiales; Euphorbiaceae
Source: RNAcentral
CUCAAACAUUUCUUCUAAGCUUCACAGCCUUCAUUUCAUUACUACGUAAACCCAAACUUAUAGCUUCCUCUUGACGGGAACCUCUGCUUCAGGCAAAUAUGGCAGACGGAACCAACGAUGUCAACAUGCGAAUCACAGUCGCCGAUAACGAAACAAAAGAUGUCAUCCUCCAAAUCUCAGACGCCGAACAACCACAACUGAAUGAUACUGAGGUAGAAGAAAGCAAAGUCAACGGUAACAAGUGGGAGAAGUUCAUCAUCAUUACGGAGUCAAUUGCAUUUGUGUGCGUUAUGGGGCUUUUAAUUGCCAGCUUGACGGCGGAUAGAUUGCAGAAUUCUAAGAUUUGGGAUGUGAAAAUAUGGAAAUGGUGUUUGUUACUGCUGGCUAUUCUCUGUGGUAGGCUGUUUGCUUACAUGUUUACAUAUGUUCUGAUAUCCUUGAUUCGGAGGUCUGGGCUUGUUGAGAGUGUUAUUUAUUGUGUUUAUGGAGUGAAGAAGAGCAUUAUGUUCUUCAUUUGGUUAGGUUUGGUUACUCUAGCUUGGGGUUUGUUGUUUAAUUUUGGGGUUAAUCGAAGCAAGGAUUCUACCCAUAUUGUACAUAAAAUCACCAGAGGUCUUGGUGGUUGUCUAAUUGGAGCUGCUAUAUGGCUACUGAAAUCUAUUUUAGUUUGGUCGAUAGGUUCUGUCCAUGCCAAGAAAUUGUUUUCCAGGAUUAAAGAAGCGAAAUGUUUUCGGAAUAUUCUAAGAGUUCUUUCAGUGAGAUGUGAUUCUGGGUCGCAGGAAGUAGAGAACGUUCAUGCCGAGAUUAUGGAAGAUUCCAUAGAUCUAAUUCGAGGACAUAGGCUUCGUCCUCUCUCCUAUAAGGACAAUGGAAUAGAUGAAAAAAUCACUGAUGAGGAUGGAGCAUACGAAGCUGCCUAUAAGAUUUUCAACAAAUUACCGCCUGGAAAUGAUUCUGGAAGGUCUGUGCACUUGAAACACCUAGUCAGUAGUAUAGAUAUUCAGCAUUUGCAAGGGGAAUUCAACACAGAUCUGGAUAAACCGAUGAGUAGAUCAGAUUUCAGGGACUGGGUGGUUGACAAUUUCAACAACUAUGAAAUGCUGAAAAGCAUCUUAGAACAUAAAAAAACCGCUAUUGAUGAGUUGAACGUGAUUGCUUCUCUGAUGGUGGUGAUUGUAAUCAUCAUUGUAUGGUUACUUUUCAUGGGAUUUUUAACAACCAAAGUACUCGUCUUCAUAUCAUCCCAAAUUUUGCUGAUAGCUUUUGUAUUUGGUAACUCUGCCAAGAAUGUUUUUGAAGCUGUGAUUUUUGUAUUUGUGGUCCACCUCUUUGAUGUUGGCGAUCGUUGUAUUAUUGAUGGAACAACGAUGACUGUUGAUGAGAUGACUAUAAUGACUACAAAGUUCAAAAGAGAUGAUGAUGGAGAGUUGAUAUGCUAUCCGAAUGCAGUUUUAGCUACAACACCAAUCAAGAUGCUUUACAAGAUUCCUCAAAAGAGCGACUGUUUGGAAUUCGGUAUUGAUGUUAGUACCCCACAAUCUGCCUUCGAACGACUGCAACAUCGCAUAAAAAGGUAUUUGCAGGAAAAUCCUAGGCGGUGGCAACCUGAACACAGCAUACAGGUCAUGGCGAUUGACGAUAAUAAGAUGACGGUAGCUCUUCAUGUUAAUCAUACCAUAAACUAUCGUCAUAGGAAGAAGAGGGCCAAGCGAAGAUCAGAUCUAUUGCUAGAGAUGAGGCACAUUUUUCAAGACCUUGGUAUUCAAUAUAAUCUUCCGCGUCAACGAGUUCAUCUAUUCUUUGAAGGUGGAAAUGCAUUAACUCCAUUAUCUGUGUUUCAAUAAGAGGACGACAAGAGCAAAAAGUCCAAUGGCAAGUCUUGAUUAGACCUAUUAUGUCAUGAAUCCAAUAUACAACGCAUAUAUUUCUCGUCAUUUAGUUAUAUGUUUCUGGCCAUCUACUUGUAUCUAAUUAAUAGAUAAUAGUAUUGGCUCACGUGGUUGCAAAUUUAUCUAUCUGUAAUUUAUUUAUAAUAAAGUAAGAAGAGGGGAAUAAUGAGAUAUGGCAAAA